This 252-nucleotide ribosomal RNA is filed under the name uncultured bacterium. RNAcentral's name for it is "partial 16S ribosomal RNA". It matches the Rfam family "Bacterial small subunit ribosomal RNA", at positions 524 to 776 of the family's 1533-position model. The record is from RNAcentral.
UACGGAGGAUGCGAGCGUUAUCCGGGUUUAUUGGGUUUAAAGGGUGCGUAGGCGGAGUGCCAAGUCAGCGGUAAAAAUUCGGGGCUCAACCCCGUCCGGCCGUUGAAACUGGGGGUCUUGAGUGGGCGAGAAGAAGGCGGAAUGCGUGGUGUAGCGGUGAAAUGCAUAGAUAUCACGCAGAACCCCGAUUGCGAAGGCAGCCUUCCGGCGCCCUACUGACGCUGAGGCACGAAAGUGCGGGGAUCGAACAGG